This 1800-nucleotide ribosomal RNA is filed under the name human gut metagenome. Its description in RNAcentral is "bacterial LSU rRNA". It matches the Rfam family "Bacterial large subunit ribosomal RNA", at positions 1104 to 2925 of the family's 2925-position model. The record is from RNAcentral.
GCUUAGAAGCAGCCACUCAUUUAAAGAGUGCGUAAUAGCUCACUGGUCGAGUGAUCCUGCGCCGAAAAUUUCCGGGGCUAAAACGUACUACCGAAGCUACGGCAUCAUUUAUGAUGGGUAGGGGAGCUUCGUAUGCAGGCUGAAGCAUGACCGUAAGGACAUGUGGACAGUAUACGAGUGAGAAUGUUGGCAUGAGUAGCGAGACGUGGGUGAGAAUCCCACGGGCCGUAAACCCAAGGUUUCCAGGGGAAGGUUCGUCCGCCCUGGGUUAGUCGGGACCUAAGCCGAGGCCGAAAGGCGUAGGUGAUGGACAACAGGUUGAUAUUCCUGUACCGCCAAUAAGCGUUUGAGAGAUGGAGUGACACAGUAGGAUAAGCUAACCGUACUGUUGGUUAUGUACGGCUAAGCAUUGAGGCAGUCUAAAUAGGCAAAUCCGUUUAGACAAUGCUAGGAUGUGAUGGGGAAGCCCUUCGGGGCGAAGUAGCUGAUUUCACACUGUCAAGAAAAGCUUCUAUCGAGUUUAAAGGCGCCCGUACCGUAAACCGACACAGGUGGGUGAGGAGAGUAUCCUAAGGCCAGCGAGAGAACUAUUGUUAAGGAACUCGGCAAAAUGACCCCGUAACUUAGGGAGAAGGGGUGCCUGUCUAUGACAGGCCGCAGAGAAUAGGCCCAAGCGACUGUUUACCAAAAACACAGGUUUCUGCUAAGUCGCAAGACGAUGUAUAGGAGCUGACGCCUGCCCGGUGCUGGAAGGUUAAGGGGAUCUGUUAGAGCAAUCGAAGCAGUGAACUUAAGCCCCAGUAAACGGCGGCCGUAACUAUAACGGUCCUAAGGUAGCGAAAUUCCUUGUCGGGUAAGUUCCGACCCGCACGAAAGGCGUAACGAUUUGGGCACUGUCUCAACAAUAGACUCGGUGAAAUUGUAAUCCCGGUGAAGAUGCCGGGUACCUGCGACAGGACGGAAAGACCCCAUGGAGCUUUACUGUAGCUUGACGUUGGGUCUUGGUACUACAUGUACAGGAUAGGUGGGAGACUAUGAAGCAUGGACGCCAGUCUGUGUGGAGUCAUCCUUGGGAUACCACCCUUGUAGUACUGGGAUCCUAACCAUAGGCCUUGAAUCAGGUCUUGGAACACCGUCAGGUGGGCAGUUUGACUGGGGCGGUCGCCUCCUAAAAAGUAACGGAGGCGCUCAAAGGUUUCCUCAGCACGGUCGGAAAUCGUGCGAAGAGUGUAAAGGCAAAAGGAAGCUUGAUUGCAAGACAUACAGGUCGAGCAAGGACGAAAGUCGGACUUAGUGAUCCGGUGGUUCCGCAUGGAAGGGCCAUCGCUCAACGGAUAAAAGCUACCCUGGGGAUAACAGGCUUAUCUCCCCCAAGAGUCCACAUCGACGGGGAGGUUUGGCACCUCGAUGUCGGCUCAUCACAUCCUGGGGCUGUAGUAGGUCCCAAGGGUUGGGCUGUUCGCCCAUUAAAGUGGUACGCGAGCUGGGUUCAGAACGUCGUGAGACAGUUCGGUCCCUAUCCGUCGCAGGCGUAGGAAAUUUGAGAAGACCUGUCCUUAGUACGAGAGGACCGGGAUGGACGUACCUCUGGUGUACCAGUUGUUCUGCCAAGGGCAUGGCUGGGUAGCUAUGUACGGAAUGGAUAAGCGCUGAAAGCAUCUAAGCGCGAAGCCAACUUCAAGAUAAGAUUUCCCACCGUAAGGGUAAGACCCCAGGAAGACUACCUGGUUGAUAGGUCGAAGGUGUAAGUGCAGUAAUGUAUUUAGCUUAUCGAUACUAAUAGGUCGAGGACUUGACCAA